This 64-nucleotide transfer RNA is filed under the name Brachycentrus subnubilus. RNAcentral describes it as "tRNA-Thr". Lineage: Eukaryota; Metazoa; Arthropoda; Insecta; Trichoptera; Brachycentridae. The record is from RNAcentral.
GUUUUAAUAGUUUAAAUAAAACAUUGAUUUUGUAAUUCAAAAAUAAAUAAAAAUUUUUAAAACU